UUGGGAGCUCUCCCAUAUGGUCGACCUGCAGGCGGCCGCGAAUUCACUAGUGAUUCGUAUUACCGCGGCUGCUGGCACAGAGUUAGCCGGUGCUUAUUCUGUCGGUAACGUCAAAACACUAACGUAUUAGGUUAAUGCCCUUCCUCCCAACUUAAAGUGCUUUACAAUCCGAAGACCUUCUUCACACACGCGGCAUGGCUGGAUCAGGCUUUCGCCCAUUGUCCAAUAUUCCCCACUGCUGCCUCCCGUAGGAGUGGGGACCGUGUCUCAGUUCCCCUGUGGCCGUUCAUUCUCUCAAACCAGCUACGCAUCAUUGCCUAGGUGGGAUUUACCCACACCCAAUAGCUAAUACGACUUAUUCUCAUCAACUAGCGAAGGUCUAAAGACCUCCUUUCAUUACGUAAACGAAUACGCAACAAAUGCGGUAUUACCCACGAUUUCUCAUGGCUAUCCCCCACUAAUUGGCAGAUCAAAUAAGCAUUACUCACCCGUACGCCGCUAAAGAUAAUAUUGCUAUCAUCUUCCGCUCGACUUGCAUGUGUUAAGCACACUACCAACGUUCACCCUGAGCCAUGAUCAAACUCUAAUCGAAUUCCCGCGGCCGCCAUGGCGCCCGGGAACAUGCGACG
RNAcentral lists this ribosomal RNA (629 nucleotides) under uncultured Gammaproteobacteria bacterium. RNAcentral's name for it is "partial 16S ribosomal RNA". Lineage: Bacteria; Pseudomonadati; Pseudomonadota; Gammaproteobacteria. The record is from RNAcentral.